This is a long non-coding RNA of Bombus impatiens (common eastern bumble bee), 107 nucleotides long. RefSeq lists it as uncharacterized. The transcript is spliced from 3 exons. Lineage: Eukaryota; Metazoa; Arthropoda; Insecta; Hymenoptera; Apidae. The record is from RefSeq and is a predicted model, not a curated record.
UCUUCUACUUGUUCAUGUUGCUUAAGAUUCUCUUUGUUCGACAAAAAGAUAAUUGGAAUUCAUUUUUUUGUGAAUUGUUCUGUGAAAAAUCGAAAAUCGAUUUUGAA